Molecule: ribosomal RNA, 293 nt
Filed under: uncultured Planctomycetota bacterium
Lineage: Bacteria; Pseudomonadati; Planctomycetota
Description: uncultured planctomycete partial 16S ribosomal RNA
Source: RNAcentral
GGACUACUGGGGUAUCUAAUCCCGUUCGCUCCCCUAGCUUUCGCGCCUCAGCGUCAGACAGAGGUCCAGCAGGCCGCUUUCGCCACCGGCGUUCCUUCCGAUAUCAACGCAUUUCACCGCUCCACCGGAAGUUCCACCUGCCCCUACCUCCCUCGAGUUUCUCAGUAUCCAAGGCCCUGGUCCGGUUGAGCCGAACGCUUUCACCCCAGACUGGAGAAACCGCCUACGCGCCCUUUAAGCCCAGUGAUUCCGAACAACGUUCGCACGGUUCGUCUUACCGCGGCUGCUGGCAC